Long non-coding RNA from Labeo rohita (rohu), 234 nucleotides. RefSeq lists it as uncharacterized. The transcript is spliced from 3 exons. The record is from RefSeq and is a predicted model, not a curated record. Lineage: Eukaryota; Metazoa; Chordata; Actinopteri; Cypriniformes; Cyprinidae.
UGUGUAGUCAGUCUAGAUGGGUGAAGAUGACUACAUGUAAACUCUUCUCAGGUGUUCUGUGGUCACUGUUGACUAUCAUCUCUUUAACCCUGUGUUUCAUAUGCACCACUGCUGCAGUUGCAGCAGUUAGUCCAGUCUAUGACUGUGUGCUCUAUGACACGUCGUACAUCUGCACUGGUGCUCAGUACCGCAUGUACUGCAACACAAGUAUACAUGAUUUCCAUUACGAUAGAU